This is a long non-coding RNA of Bos taurus (domestic cattle), 1000 nucleotides long. Lineage: Eukaryota; Metazoa; Chordata; Mammalia; Artiodactyla; Bovidae. The record is from Ensembl.
GGUUAAUACCUCCCUGAGCUGGGAUCAGGGCUUACCGCGAAGCUGCUUAAAAAAAAAAAAAAAAAAACGGUAACACCAGCUAACAUAUGGAGAUGUCAUCCUGGUUAAACAAAUUACAGUCGAAGACGGCGUGAUAAUAACUGAACAAUCACCGCAGCUAGAAGGAGCGGCCUCUAACCCGCCAGGGCCCCCGCUCACCCUCUUAGGAGCCGGCGCCGGCACCCGCGGCCGCCUCCGCAGCCUCCGUUGCGGUCCGCCAGCUUCCGCACCGCCCCGCCUCGCCGCCACGACCUCCACCCUCACUUUGUCCAGGAAAUCCGACUUCGCCGCCCUGGAACCCGGGGACCCACAUUCGGCUCUGCCUCCCGCAGCCUGCUCUCCUCCGGCCGUCCCAGACCCAGGGCUGCUCCGCCGAGUUUACUCGCGGGCCGUUACUUCUCCGUGAGACCAAGCCGGCCAAAAAUAGGGGAGGUGGAAGCAGCUCGCCUGCGGGAUCGAUGGGGCCCUCGCCGUUUCAGCUGAGCUGUCUUAUUAAUUAUGAAAGGGCUCGCCCGAUCCCUGCCAGGGACCACGCCUCUGGCCCCUCCGCUGGAGCCCUUAAUGGUGGUUCCUCUGAGAGCUGCCUCCGGCCACCGCAGAGGAAGCGGCGAGUCGCGAGCAGGGCUCGGCCGGCAGGCCGGGGCUCGGGCUUCCGACCCGCGUGGGUCCGCGUGUGCAUUCUCAGAGGCGCGCAAGGCCAGCGCCCCCAAACCUCCCCUAGGAAGGACCCCUGCCUUUUGGCUUACAGAAGUAAAAUAUAGCUUCCCCUUUCUCUUAAGCAAACACGAUUUCAGGGAAGUGGCAAGAUGUUCUGGUAACCCACGGCUUGAGGACGGUAGGUUAACAGAUGGCUGGUGAGCUGGUGAAUUUACCACCUGGCAUCCUGUGUUCCUUCAGGGAACCCCAAGAGAACUCGCCAAGAAAGUAGGCUUGGGGCAGGAAACAGAGGACACCCCUAUUC